GAGAGUUUGAUCCUGGCUCAGAAUCAACGCUGGCGGCGUGCUUCAGACAUGCAAGUCGAACGCGAAAGUCCCCUUCGGGGGACGAGUAGAGUGGCGCACGGGUGAGUAACACGUGGGUGACCUGCCCUGAGGUGUGGGAUAACCAGGGGAAACUCUGGCUAAUACCGCAUGAUACCGAGAGGUCAAAGGGGGCUCGCAAGGGCUCUCGCCAUAGGAGGAGUUCGCGGCCUAUCAGCUAGUUGGUGAGGUAACGGCCCACCAAGGCUAAGACGGGUAGCCGCUCGUAGACUGCGUACCA
Molecule: ribosomal RNA, 298 nt
Filed under: uncultured bacterium
Lineage: Bacteria
Description: partial 16S ribosomal RNA
Rfam family: Bacterial small subunit ribosomal RNA
Source: RNAcentral